AUGGAGGUGAGGCAGAGGGUGGUUGUGGUGAGGCGUGCGCGGGGGCGAGGAAGAAGGAGAAAGGAGAGGAUAUGGGAGGCACUGGAGUUCCCGGUGAUGCGGCAUGCGCGGGGGCGCGCGAGAGAGGUGGUGGAUCAGGCGCUGAGCGCUUGGAGGAAGGAGGAUGCGCUCGGGAGGCUCGGAAGAUUUGGGUUGCAAAGAGAGGCGUUGAAGCAGCGGCCGUUGAGGAGGGGGGAGUGCUGA
Molecule: ribosomal RNA, 243 nt
Filed under: Triticum aestivum (bread wheat)
Lineage: Eukaryota; Viridiplantae; Streptophyta; Magnoliopsida; Poales; Poaceae
Description: partial small subunit ribosomal RNA
Source: RNAcentral